AUGCUUAUAGCAGCCCGUAUCACAUAUUCACCACAGAUGUUGAAGGAAGUAACCUCACUUCAGAAUAGUAGUACCAUUAUUUUUAGAGCUUUUCAGAGUGAGUCUGGAAAGCUGCAGCAGCUUCCCCUGGCUGGGGCUAAGUUCCAGAGAUGUUCACAUCUGCUAUCUAAAACAAGAGCCUCAAAAACUAGAUCCUGUCAUCUUUCUGUGACUCCAAAGGAGAAGGCACGGGUGCACACUGCGGGGUAGCCAGUCCAAGCAUCCAGUUUCAGAACACAGGUAUUUUGAAUAGUUUGUGGUAGCAAAUCUGUGUCCCUCUGGAACAGUGAGUGUCCUGGUGCUUACAGGAGUAUUUGCAGAAAUCUGUUUUGAAUGGAGUGUAAGGGAUCUGUUUUUAUAGCCCCAGUUUUCUAAGUACUUUGAAAAGAGCUGCUGCAAAACCAGAAUCUGUUGUUUCUAGUGAAUCUUUACUGAAGUUAUACACUGCAAAACCCAGCAAAGUGGAGAAACAAGUUCUGAAAAUACCUGUCUGAUGCCCUGCAUUGAAUAGGGAAGCCUAAAAAACAGCUAAACUACUUGGACUUAAUCCAGGGAUUUUUAAGUAGAGUGCCAGGUCCUCCUUGAAAAGGGUUCACAAGCAAUUUCUGAUUAAUCAGCAAGCAUAGAUUAAAGAAAAGCAGCUAAAGUAAAAACACCUUUAGAGUUUGAGAUACAGCCCAUAAGGAUUGCAUUCAGCCUGCAAGUGAGCAUUCAUUUCUAAGCUGAAAUGAGAGUUCGAGCUGGGAAGGAGACAACAGUAGAAUGAGAGGAGGAAGGUUGGAUCAAAGGUUUUGUUCAGAGCGGCAUUUACUGCUGGUCCCCCCGAUUUGAAGAGGGGGCAAGACAAGGUUUGAAGCAGAAUUAAGUAUGCAUAGCAUGAUUGAGUCAGCUUUGAAUGACUUGGAAAACUCUUGAACUGAUCGCUGCCUAGAGAGAUUUCCACAUAACCUCAGAAAGCAUGUUUCUGUUUCUGAAGGUAGACUGGCUUUUAAUUUCCCCUUGCCUUCACCCCUCACCCCCUGGCUCCCCUUGCCUUUUGGCAGUCCUUGGAUUAUAGAGGUUGCUAACUUGGAAAUGUACUGUUGAAACAUCACCCUGUUAAACUGUAGCCCUGUCAGCUCCAUUCCCUGUGAGCACCCUCCAGCUUUUACAUGUGGUCUGUAAUGAGGCAAAGGAAAGGUAAAACCAUGAAGUGACAGUCCCUCUCUGG
RNAcentral lists this long non-coding RNA (1249 nucleotides) under Parus major (Great Tit). RNAcentral describes it as "lncRNA (ENSPMJG00000000475.1)". The record is from RNAcentral. Lineage: Eukaryota; Metazoa; Chordata; Aves; Passeriformes; Paridae.